Molecule: ribosomal RNA, 1781 nt
Filed under: metagenome
Description: SSU rRNA
Rfam family: Eukaryotic small subunit ribosomal RNA
Source: RNAcentral
GUAGUUAUAUGCUUGUCUUGAAGAUUAAGCCAUGCAUGUCUAAGUAUAAACCUCUUUAUACUGGUGCAACUGCAGAAGGCUCAUUAAAACAGUUAUAGUUUAUUUGAUGGUUCCUUACUACAUGGAUAACUGUAGUAAUUCUAGAGCUAAUACAUGCGUCGAAUCCCGACUUACGAAGGGAUGUAUUUAUUAGACAAAAAACCAAUGUGGUUCUCCUCGGAGAGCUGCUCUCUUGGUGAUUCAUAAUAACUGUCAAAUCGCAUGGAUUUACUCCGGCGAUAGAUCAUUCAAAUUUCUGCCCUAUCAGCUUUCAAUCGUAGUGUAGUGGACUACGAUGGCUUUUACGGGUGACGGAGAAUUAGGGUUCGGUUCCGGAGAGGGGGCCUGAGAAAUGGCCACCACAUCUAAGGAAGGCAGCAGGCGCGCAAAUUACCCAAUUGAGAUUCUCAGAGGUAGUGAAGAUAAAUAACAAUACCGGUCAUUCUAUAUGUCUGGUAAUUGGAAUGAGAACAACUUAAAUACCUUAUCGAGUAUCCAUUGGAGGGCAAGUCUGGUGCCAGCAGCCGCGGUAACACCAGCUCCAAUAGCGUAUAUUAAAGUUGUUGCAGUUAAAAAGCUCGUAGUUGGAUAUCUGGUAAGGUGGCCUGACCCGCCUCCCACACGGGAGUGUGUGUGUCGGCGCUUGCCUUAUCAUCUUUCCAGAGUCUACGCUGGAUCCUUCGGGGCUUGGCGUUUGAGUCUGGAUCUUUUACUUUGAAAAAAUUAGAGUGUUCAAAGCAAGCUUUUGCUGUGAAUACAUUAGCAUGGAAUAAUAAAAUAGGACUUUGGCCUAUUUUGUUGGUUUCUAGGACCAAAGUAAUGAUUGAUAGGGAUAGUUGGGGGUGCUUGUAUUGAACGGCCAGAGGUGAAAUUCUUGGAUUCGUUCAAGACAAACUACUGCGAAAGCAUUCACCAAGGAUGUCUUCUUUAAUCUAGAACGAAAGUUGGGGGAUCGAAGACGAUUAGAUACCGUCGUAGUCUCAACCAUAAACUAUGCCGACUAAGGAUCAGUGAAUGUUGAUUUAGACUUCAUUGGGACUUUACGAGAAAUCAAAGUUUUUGGGUUCUGGGGGGAGUCUGGUCGCAAGGCUGAAACUUAAAGGAAUUGACGGAAGGGCACCACAAUGGAGUGGAGCCUGCGGCUUAAUUUGACCCAACACGGGAAAACUUACCAGGUCAGGACACAGGAAGGAUUGACGGAUUGCAGAUCUUUCUUGAUUCUGUGGGUGGUGGUGCAUGGCCGUUCUUAGUUGGUGGAGUGAUUUGUCUGGUUAAUUCCGUUAACGAACGAGACCUCAGCCUACUAAAUAGUCGGAUGUAUACUUCACAGUGUACACUUCCGACUUCUUAGAGGGACUGUCGGUUUCUAGCCGAAGGAAGCAUGAGGCAAUAACAGGUCUGUGAUGUCCUUAGAUGUUCUGGGCUGCACGCGCGCUACAAUGUUGCAUACAACGAGCAUUCACCCUUGAUCGAAAGGUCUGGGUAAUCUUUGAAAGUGCAACGUGCUGGGGAUUGAUUAUUGCAAUUGUUAGUCAUGAACCAGGAAUUCCUAGUAAACGCGAGUCAUCAGCUCGCAUUGAUUACGUCCCUGCCCUUUGUACACACCGCCCGUCGCUCCUACCGAUUGAAUGAUCCGGCGAAAUCUUCGGACUGUUGUAUUGAGCUGGGUUUUCUCGGCUCAGUGCCGACGGGAAGUUGAUUGAACCUUAUCAUUUAGAGGAAGGAGAAGUCGUAACAAGGUU